This 431-nucleotide ribosomal RNA is filed under the name uncultured bacterium. RNAcentral's name for it is "bacterial SSU rRNA". It matches the Rfam family "Bacterial small subunit ribosomal RNA", at positions 29 to 506 of the family's 1533-position model. The record is from RNAcentral.
ACGAACGCUGGCGGCAUGCCUAACACAUGCAAGUCGAACGAGACCUUCGGGUCUAGUGGCGCACGGGUGCGUAACGCGUGGGAAUCUGCCCUUAGGUACGGGAUAACCCAGGGAAACUUGGGCUAAUACCGUAUGAUGACGUAAGUCCAAAGAUUUAUCGCCUAAGGAUGAGCCCGCGUAGGAUUAGCUUGUUGGUGAGGUAAAGGCUCACCAAGGCGACGAUCCUUAGCUGGUCUGAGAGGAUGAUCAGCCACACUGGGACUGAGACACGGCCCAGACUCCUACGGGAGGCAGCAGUGGGGAAUAUUGGACAAUGGGCGAAAGCCUGAUCCAGCAAUGCCGCGUGAGUGAUGAAGGCCCUAGGGUUGUAAAGCUCUUUUACCCGGGAAGAUAAUGACUGUACCGGGAGAAUAAGCCCCGGCUAACUCCGU